CACAGAGAGGCUCUGAGGAGGAGGC
RNAcentral lists this non-coding RNA (25 nucleotides) under Rattus norvegicus (Norway rat). The record is from RNAcentral. Lineage: Eukaryota; Metazoa; Chordata; Mammalia; Rodentia; Muridae.